GGACCCGUAGCUCAGGUGGUUAGAGCGCUGCUCUGAUAAGGCAGAGGCCCGGAGUUCAAAUCUCCGCGGGUCCACCA
RNAcentral lists this transfer RNA (77 nucleotides) under Candidatus Aenigmatarchaeota archaeon. Its description in RNAcentral is "tRNA-Ile". It matches the Rfam family "tRNA". From Rfam's summary of the family: Transfer RNA (tRNA) molecules are approximately 80 nucleotides in length. The record is from RNAcentral. Lineage: Archaea; Nanobdellati; Candidatus Aenigmatarchaeota.